CAGUCGAACGAAGCACCUUGGACAGAAUCCUUCGGGAGGAAGACCAUUGUGCACUUAGUGGCGGACGGGUGAGUAACGCGUGGGUAACCUGCCUUGUACAGGGGGAUAACAGUUGGAAACGACUGCUAAUACCGCAUAAGCGCACAGUACCGCAUGGUACGGUGUGAAAAACUCCGGUGGUACAAGAUGGACCCGCGUCUGAUUAGCUGGUUGGUGAGGUAACGGCCCACCAAGGCAACGAUCAGUAGCCGACUUGAGAGAGUGAUCGGCCACAUUGGGACUGAGACACGGCCCAAACUCCUACGGGAGGCAGCAGUAGGGAAUAUUGCACAAUGGGGGAAACCCUGAUGCAGCGACGCCGCGUGAAGGAAGAAGUAUUUCGGUAUGUAAACUUCUAUCAGCAAGGAAGAAAAUGACGGUACUUGACUAAGAAGCCCCGGCUAAAUACGUGCCAGCAGCCGCGGUAAUACGUAUGGGGCAAGCGUUAUCCGGAUUUACUGGGUGUAAAGGGAGCGUAGGCGGCAUGGCAAGUCAGAAGUGAAAGCCUGGGGCUCAACCCCGGAAUUGCUUUUGAAACUGUCAGGCUAGAGUGUCGGAGGGGUAAGCGGAAUUCCUAGUGUAGCGGUGAAAUGCGUAGAUAUUAGGAGGAACACCGGUGGCGAAGGCGGCUUACUGGACGAUUACUGAUGCUGAGGCUCGAAAGCGUGGGGAGCAAACAGGAUUAGAUACCCUGGUAG
This 737-nucleotide ribosomal RNA is filed under the name uncultured bacterium. RNAcentral describes it as "bacterial SSU rRNA". It matches the Rfam family "Bacterial small subunit ribosomal RNA", at positions 59 to 793 of the family's 1533-position model. The record is from RNAcentral.